AACGAACGCUGGCGGCAUGCCUAACACAUGCAAGUCGAACGAGACCUUCGGGUCUAGUUGCGCACGGGUGCGUAACGCGUGGGAACCUUCCCUUAGGUUCGGAAUAACUCCCCGAAAGGGGUGCUAAUACCGGAUAAUGUCUUCGGCCCAAAGAUUUAUCGCCUUUGGAUGGGCCCGCGUUGGAUUAGCUAGUUGGUCGGGUAAAAGCCUACCAAGGCGACGAUCCAUAGCUGGUCUGAGAGGAUGAUCAGCCACACUGGGACUGAGACACGGCCCAGACUCCUACGGGAGGAAGAAGUGGGGAAUAUUGGACGAUGGGCGAAAGACUGAUCCAGCAAUGCCGCGUGAGUGAUGAAGGCCUUAGGGUUGUAAAGCUCUUUUAACCGGGAUGAUAAUGACAGUACCGGGAGAAUAAGCGCCGGCUAACUCCGUG
This 433-nucleotide ribosomal RNA is filed under the name uncultured bacterium. Its description in RNAcentral is "partial 16S ribosomal RNA". It matches the Rfam family "Bacterial small subunit ribosomal RNA", at positions 29 to 507 of the family's 1533-position model. The record is from RNAcentral.